GACGAACGCUGGCGGCGUGCUUAACACAUGCAAGUCGAACGAAGUGGCGAACGGGUGAGUAACGCGUAAUCAACCUGCCCUUCAGCGGGGGACAACAGUUGGCAACGACUGCUAAUACCGCAUACUGAAGGCGGGGAUGGCGUCUAAUUAGCUAGUGGGAGGGGUAACGUCCCAACAAGGCGAUGAUCCGUAGACUGUGUGAUAGGAUGAGCGGCUAAAUUGGUACUGAGACACGGCCCAGACUCCUACGGGAGGUAGCAGGGGGGAAUCUGCCGCAAUGGACGAAAGUCUGACGGAUCAAGUCCGCGGGAGUGAUGACGGCCUUCGGGUUGUAAAGCUCUGUUAAUCGUGACGCGGUACCGGAAUAGAAAGCCACGGCUAACUACGGGCCAGCAGCCGCGGUAAUAC
RNAcentral lists this ribosomal RNA (408 nucleotides) under uncultured bacterium. Its description in RNAcentral is "partial 16S ribosomal RNA". It matches the Rfam family "Bacterial small subunit ribosomal RNA", at positions 28 to 526 of the family's 1533-position model. The record is from RNAcentral.